This 630-nucleotide ribosomal RNA is filed under the name Salmonella enterica subsp. enterica serovar Bovismorbificans. RNAcentral describes it as "partial 23S ribosomal RNA". It matches the Rfam family "Bacterial large subunit ribosomal RNA", at positions 579 to 1211 of the family's 2925-position model. Lineage: Bacteria; Pseudomonadati; Pseudomonadota; Gammaproteobacteria; Enterobacterales; Enterobacteriaceae. The record is from RNAcentral.
GCUUAGUGGUGGGGUGACUGCGUACCUUUUGUAUAAUGGGUCAGCGACUUAUAUUCUGUAGCAAGGUUAACCGAAUAGGGGAGCCGGAGGGAAACCGAGUCUUAAUUGGGCGUUAAGUUGCAGGGUAUAGACCCGAAACCCGGUGAUCUAGCCAUGGGCAGGUUGAAGGUUGGGUAACACUAACUGGAGGACCGAACCGACUAAUGUUGAAAAAUUAGCGGAUGACCUGUGGCUGGGGGUGAAAGGCCAAUCAAACCGGGAGAUAGCUGGUUCUCCCCGAAAGCUAUUUAGGUAGCGCCUCGUGAAUUCAUCUCCGGGGGUAGAGCACUGUUUCGGCUAGGGGGCCAUCCCGGCUUACCAACCCGAUGCAAACUGCGAAUACCGGAGAAUGUUAUCACGGGAGACACACGGCGGGUGCUAACGUCCGUCGUGAAGAGGGAAACAACCCAGACCGCCAGCUAAGGUCCCAAAGUCAUGGUUAAGUGGGAAACGAUGUGGGAAGGCCCAGACAGCCAGGAUGUUGGCUUAGAAGCAGCCAUCAUUUAAAGAAAGCGUAAUAGCUCACUGGUCGAGUCGGCCUGCGCGGAAGAUGUAACGGGGCUAAACCAUGCACCGAAGCUGCGGCAGCGA